Molecule: transfer RNA, 83 nt
Filed under: Marinococcus luteus
Lineage: Bacteria; Bacillati; Bacillota; Bacilli; Caryophanales; Bacillaceae
Rfam family: tRNA
About the family: Transfer RNA (tRNA) molecules are approximately 80 nucleotides in length. Their secondary structure includes four short double-helical elements and three loops (D, anti-codon, and T loops).
Source: Rfam by way of RNAcentral
GGCGAAGUGGCGGAACCGGUAGACGCGCUUGACUCAAAAUCAAGUGUCCUCUGGACGUGUGGGUUCGAGUCCCACCUUCGCUA